AAACUCUGAAUGCCAUAUCAUUAGAAAAUAAAAUUAUCAAGUUUUGCAAGCCAAUAUAUAUAGGUUUUGCAGUAUUGGAAAUUUCUAAGACCGUUAUGUAUGAUUAUCAUUACAACGUUAUGCAAGCUCAUUAUGGAAAUAAAAUUGAGCUCAUGUAUACUGAUACAGAUUCACUGGUAUACUAUAUCCAGACCGAUGAUUUUUACAAAGACU
Molecule: long non-coding RNA, 213 nt
Organism: Metopolophium dirhodum (rose-grain aphid)
Lineage: Eukaryota; Metazoa; Arthropoda; Insecta; Hemiptera; Aphididae
Exons: 3
Source: RefSeq, a predicted model, not a curated record